CAGAACAAAUGUGUUUGUGUUAUAUUAUAACUACAGCUCCCUGAGCAAGGAUGACAUCAAGGUAAAGAGUUUGGAGCUGGUUUAGAUAACAAAGCUGGUGAAUUGCUUAUUGGUGAUAGGCAAUGGCAUUUUGCACACUUAUCAUAGGUCAUCUUUUUGUACCAUUCUUUGCCUUCAUCAUAUAGCCAUGUUUCAAUCCAUUUGGUAUACUGUGAUUAAUGUUAAGUUUGAAUUUGCCUCAGCUUGUAUGCAACUAGAUCUCAGAUUUAUAUGUUGAAAGUUACCGAUAGAUGAAUAUUUUCAUAUUUUUCAUUUCAAAUUCAUGUCAUGUUGUCUUGUAUCAUUCAUAGUUGCACAAUUCAACUGUACUUCAACUAAU
RNAcentral lists this unclassified non-coding RNA (379 nucleotides) under Hevea brasiliensis (rubber tree). The record is from RNAcentral. Lineage: Eukaryota; Viridiplantae; Streptophyta; Magnoliopsida; Malpighiales; Euphorbiaceae.